This 1725-nucleotide ribosomal RNA is filed under the name Pseudomonas sp. BJa5. Its description in RNAcentral is "partial 23S ribosomal RNA". It matches the Rfam family "Bacterial large subunit ribosomal RNA", at positions 1220 to 2925 of the family's 2925-position model. The record is from RNAcentral. Lineage: Bacteria; Pseudomonadati; Pseudomonadota; Gammaproteobacteria; Pseudomonadales; Pseudomonadaceae.
GUGAUGCGGUAGAGGAGCGUUCUGUAAGCCUGUGAAGGUGAGUUGAGAAGCUUGCUGGAGGUAUCAGAAGUGCGAAUGCUGACAUGAGUAACGACAAUGCGAGUGAAAAACUCGCACGCCGAAAGACCAAGGUUUCCUGCGCAACGUUAAUCGACGCAGGGUUAGUCGGUCCCUAAGGCGAGGCUGAAAAGCGUAGUCGAUGGAAAACAGGUUAAUAUUCCUGUACUUCUGGUUAUUGCGAUGGAGGGACGGAGAAGGCUAGGCCAGCUUGGCGUUGGUUGUCCAAGUUUAAGGUGGUAGGCUGAGAUCUUAGGUAAAUCCGGGAUCUUAAGGCCGAGAGCUGAUGACGAGUUGCCUUUAGGCGACGAAGUGGUUGAUGCCAUGCUUCCAAGAAAAGCUUCUAAGCUUCAGAUAACCAGGAACCGUACCCCAAACCGACACAGGUGGUUGGGUAGAGAAUACCAAGGCGCUUGAGAGAACUCGGGUGAAGGAACUAGGCAAAAUGGCACCGUAACUUCGGGAGAAGGUGCGCCGAUGAGGGUGAAGCACUUGCUGCGUAAGCCCACGUCGGUCGAAGAUACCAGGCCGCUGCGACUGUUUAUUAAAAACACAGCACUCUGCAAACACGAAAGUGGACGUAUAGGGUGUGACGCCUGCCCGGUGCCGGAAGGUUAAUUGAUGGGGUUAGCUAACGCGAAGCUCUUGAUCGAAGCCCCGGUAAACGGCGGCCGUAACUAUAACGGUCCUAAGGUAGCGAAAUUCCUUGUCGGGUAAGUUCCGACCUGCACGAAUGGCGUAACGAUGGCGGCGCUGUCUCCACCCGAGACUCAGUGAAAUUGAAAUCGCUGUGAAGAUGCAGUGUAUCCGCGGCUAGACGGAAAGACCCCGUGAACCUUUACUAUAGCUUUGCACUGGACUUUGAAUUUGCUUGUGUAGGAUAGGUGGGAGGCUUUGAAGUGGGGACGCCAGUUCUCAUGGAGCCAUCCUUGAAAUACCACCCUGGCAACUUUGAGGUUCUAACUCAGGUCCGUUAUCCGGAUCGAGGACAGUGUAUGGUGGGUAGUUUGACUGGGGCGGUCUCCUCCUAAAGAGUAACGGAGGAGUACGAAGGUGCGCUCAGACCGGUCGGAAAUCGGUCGCAGAGUAUAAAGGCAAAAGCGCGCUUGACUGCGAGACAGACACGUCGAGCAGGUACGAAAGUAGGUCUUAGUGAUCCGGUGGUUCUGUAUGGAAGGGCCAUCGCUCAACGGAUAAAAGGUACUCCGGGGAUAACAGGCUGAUACCGCCCAAGAGUUCAUAUCGACGGCGGUGUUUGGCACCUCGAUGUCGGCUCAUCACAUCCUGGGGCUGAAGCCGGUCCCAAGGGUAUGGCUGUUCGCCAUUUAAAGUGGUACGCGAGCUGGGUUUAGAACGUCGUGAGACAGUUCGGUCCCUAUCUGCCGUGGACGUUUGAGAUUUGAGAGGGGCUGCUCCUAGUACGAGAGGACCGGAGUGGACGAACCUCUGGUGUUCCGGUUGUCACGCCAGUGGCAUUGCCGGGUAGCUAUGUUCGGAAGAGAUAACCGCUGAAAGCAUCUAAGCGGGAAACUUGCCUCAAGAUGAGAUCUCACUGGAGCCUUGAGCUCCCUGAAGGGCCGUCGAAGACUACGACGUUGAUAGGUUGGGUGUGUAAGCGCUGUGAGGCGUUGAGCUAACCAAUACUAAUUGCCCGUGAGGCUUGACCAU